RNAcentral lists this unclassified non-coding RNA (283 nucleotides) under Hevea brasiliensis (rubber tree). Lineage: Eukaryota; Viridiplantae; Streptophyta; Magnoliopsida; Malpighiales; Euphorbiaceae. The record is from RNAcentral.
AAAGUGUCAGAGUAAUCAGUGCCAUAAGUUUAAGCAUAUCCUUUAGCAACAAGGUGAACCUUGAGACGAGCCACAUUACCAUCGGGAUUCACUUUGACUCUAAAAACCCAUUUGCAUCCAAUAGUUUUCUUAUUCGGGGGCAAUGUACCAAUUCCCAAUUACCAUUAGUAUCUAAAGCUACCAUUUUUUUCUUUCAUUGCAGCAUGCCAGCCAGGAUGGGAUAAUGCUUCAGCAACAGUUUUGGGAAUAGAAAUAGUAUCUAGAGAACUGAUAAAACAACGAG